GCACGCUCACUGCGGGCGGAACCUGCUGAUCAACGAGGUCUCUGCCAGCAGGACUCUGAGUAUUUUUGCUUUUCCCCACAGGCGUUGUCUGCUGCAGACUUGAGCAGCGCUGCUCAAGCCAUGGAGGGAGUGUGUGCUGCAGUUUGCACAGCUUUUUCCGUGGCUUAUUCUGGGUACUUUCUCACCCACCUGGCACGUCACAUCAGCCAUGCCUGGAGAGAAUCCAGUCUUUGGAGCCCAACACCAACCUCGGAGGCUCCUCUGGCUAUGUGUCUUCCUGCGGAAAAGGCCAAAGAGGAGGAAGAUGCUCCCCAAACUGCACCUGCUGCCACUGCAGGGCCUGAGCAUCCAGCAUCAGUAAGUGGCAGCUCUGGGUAGUGCUGUGGCUGGAGCAAAGCAUAGCUGCAAGUUUCUGAUCAGACAGCACCUCCCGUGCCUGGCUGAAGAUGCUGAGGGCUGGAAUCUUUCCAGCCCUUCCCCCAGUCAGUUAGGCUUGGAAAAGGGGAGUGGAACUUGGAUU
Long non-coding RNA from Passer domesticus (house sparrow), 520 nucleotides. RefSeq lists it as uncharacterized. The record is from RefSeq and is a predicted model, not a curated record. NCBI's taxonomy places the organism in Eukaryota, Metazoa, Chordata, Aves, Passeriformes, Passeridae. The transcript has 3 exons.